Camelus ferus (Wild Bactrian camel) is the source of this 72-nucleotide transfer RNA. It matches the Rfam family "tRNA". From Rfam's summary of the family: Transfer RNA (tRNA) molecules are approximately 80 nucleotides in length. NCBI's taxonomy places the organism in Eukaryota, Metazoa, Chordata, Mammalia, Artiodactyla, Camelidae. The record is from Rfam.
GAAGGGAUAGUUCAGUGGUAGAGCACAUGCUUAUCAUGCAGGAGGUCCUGGGUUCGAUCCCCAGAACCUCCA